This 472-nucleotide ribosomal RNA is filed under the name uncultured organism. Its description in RNAcentral is "partial 16S ribosomal RNA". It matches the Rfam family "Bacterial small subunit ribosomal RNA", at positions 332 to 796 of the family's 1533-position model. The record is from RNAcentral.
UACACUCCUGCGGGAGGCAGCAGUGGGGAAUUUUGGACAAUGGGCGAAAGCCUGAUCCAGCAAUGCCGCGUGAGUGAAGAAGGCCUUCGGGUUGUAAAGCUCUUUUGUCAGGGAAGAAACGGUGAAAGCUAAUAUCUUUUGCUAAUGACGGUACCUGAAGAAUAAGCACCGGCUAACUACGUGCCAGCAGCCGCGGUAAUACGUAGGGUGCAAGCGUUAAUCGGAAUUACUGGGCGUAAAGCGUGCGCAGGCGGUUUUGUAAGUCUGAUGUGAAAUCCCCGGGCUCAACCUGGGAAUUGCAUUGGAGACUGCAAGGCUAGAAUCUGGCAGAGGGGGGUAGAAUUCCACGUGUAGCAGUGAAAUGCGUAGAUAUGUGGAGGAACACCGAUGGCGAAGGCAGCCCCCUGGGUCAAGAUUGACGCUCAUGCACGAAAGCGUGGGGAGCAAACAGGAUUAGAUACCCGGGUAGUCC